UUAACUAUUUUAUAGUACUCAGACAAUAAUAAUUACAGAUUUUGGGGCUAUUGGUAGGUGCUCUCCAGCCGAAGCCGGUGCUCACGCAAAGCGCUCGCGACCCACCAAAGCAACAAGUGAAUAAUAAUCAAGGGUGAGAAGGACCGGUUUCCCGGCUUCAUUUUUAAUGAUCCUUCCGCAGGUUCACCUACGGAAA
Molecule: unclassified non-coding RNA, 196 nt
Filed under: uncultured fungus
Lineage: Eukaryota; Fungi
Description: sequence contains ITS1
Source: RNAcentral